Onychostoma macrolepis is the source of this 529-nucleotide long non-coding RNA. RefSeq lists it as uncharacterized. The record is from RefSeq and is a predicted model, not a curated record. The transcript has 3 exons. NCBI's taxonomy places the organism in Eukaryota, Metazoa, Chordata, Actinopteri, Cypriniformes, Cyprinidae.
UCAACCCCUGAAUGUAAAAACGGCAAAUCAAGGCGAUUUCUUGUUUUUUCAUUUUUUUGACAAAACGAAAAAUGAAAAUGGUGCCGUGUUCUCAUGUUUCUAUUUUCAAUAUUUAAUCAAAAAACGAAUGAACGCAACGUACACGGACCAAACACUUUUAUAAUGACCGUGUUAGUUGAUUUAUACCGGGAGAUGGGCGCCGCCAUGUUUUUUCGCGCUGAAUCCGAGCUGUGGGAUUUACACCACGUAAAUUCAUCCUCCCCUCCCGAAACACGUUAAAACUCAUUUCACUCACUGUGCCUAAGGCUUCCAGGUCACGUCACCAGGGUCUGAACAUUGUGGAAAAGCUGAAUUUUUAGCAGCCUUUACUCAAAUCAUCAGUGACACAGGAUCUUUCAGAAAACAAGUAAGUAACAUUUAAUAUUAUUAUAAUGAUUAUUAUUAUUAUGUUGUUGUAGGUGUGCUACUUAAUAUUUUUGUGGAAAUCAUAAAACAUUUUAGGAUUAAUUGAAAGGUGCUUUUUAUAAUG